UAAAUGGAUAAGAUUUUUGAA
This 21-nucleotide non-coding RNA is filed under the name Caenorhabditis elegans. The record is from RNAcentral. Lineage: Eukaryota; Metazoa; Nematoda; Chromadorea; Rhabditida; Rhabditidae.